Molecule: ribosomal RNA, 504 nt
Filed under: uncultured bacterium
Lineage: Bacteria
Description: partial 16S ribosomal RNA
Rfam family: Bacterial small subunit ribosomal RNA
Source: RNAcentral
AUUGAACGCUGGCGGCAGGCCUAACACAUGCAAGUCGAACGGUAGCACAGAGAGCUUGCUCUCGGGUGACGAGUGGCGGACGGGUGAGUAACGUCUGGGAAACUGCCCGAUGGAGGGGGAUAACUACUGGAAACGGUAGCUAAUACCGCAUAACGUCGCAAGACCAAAGUGGGGGACCUUCGGGCCUCACACCAUCGGAUGUGCCCAGAUGGGAUUAGCUAGUAGGUGGGGUAAUGGCUCACCUAGGCAACGAUCCCUAGCUGGUCUGAGAGGAUGACCAGCCACACUGAAACUGAGACACGGUCCAGACUCCUACGGGAGGCAGCAGUGGGGAAUAUUGCACAAUGGGCGCAAGCCUGAUGCAGCCAUGCCGCGUGUAUGAAGAAGGCCUUCGGGUUGUAAAGUACUUUCAGCGGGGAGGAAGGCGGUGAAGUUAAUAGCUUCACCGAUUGACGUUACCCGCAGAAGAAGCACCGGCUAACUCCGUGCCAGCCGCCGCCGUAA